This 328-nucleotide ribosomal RNA is filed under the name uncultured eukaryote. RNAcentral describes it as "partial 18S ribosomal RNA". It matches the Rfam family "Eukaryotic small subunit ribosomal RNA", at positions 1470 to 1796 of the family's 1831-position model. The record is from RNAcentral.
CCCUUAGAUGUUCUGGGCUGCACGCGCGCUACACUGAAGCGUUCAACGAGUAUUUCACCUUGCCCGGGAGGGUUGGGUAAUCUUUUUAAAACGCUUCGUGAUGGGGAUAGAUUAUUGAAAUUAUUAAUCUUGAACGAGGAAUUCCUAGUAAACGCAGAUCAUCAAUCUGCAUUGAUUACGUCCCUGCCCUUUGUACACACCGCCCGUCGCACCUACCGAUUGGAUGGUCCGGUGAAGCCUCGGGAUUGUGGUUCUUGCCGCUUUAUUGUGGCGUGACCGCGAGAACUUGUCUAAACCUUAUCAUCUAGAGGAAGGUGAAGUCGUAACA